CGGGGCAUAGCGUAGUCUGGCUAACGUAUCUGCUUUGGGAGCAGAGGAUCGGGGGUUCAAAUCCCUCUGCCCCGA
Molecule: transfer RNA, 75 nt
Filed under: Candidatus Azoamicus ciliaticola
Lineage: Bacteria; Pseudomonadati; Pseudomonadota; Gammaproteobacteria; Candidatus Azoamicaceae
Also listed under: 2 other names
Rfam family: tRNA
About the family: Transfer RNA (tRNA) molecules are approximately 80 nucleotides in length.
Source: Rfam by way of RNAcentral